This 406-nucleotide ribosomal RNA is filed under the name uncultured bacterium. RNAcentral's name for it is "partial 16S ribosomal RNA". It matches the Rfam family "Bacterial small subunit ribosomal RNA", at positions 30 to 526 of the family's 1533-position model. The record is from RNAcentral.
AUUGAACGCUGGCGGCAGGCCUAACACAUGCAAGUCGAACGAGUGGCGGACGGGUGAGUAAUGUCUGGGAAACUGCCUGAUGGAGGGGGAUAACUACUGGAAACGGUAGCUAAUACCGCAUACCAUCGGAUGUGCCCAGAUGGGAUUCGCUAGUUGGUGGGGUAAAGGCUCACCUGGGCGACGAUCCCUAGCUGGUCUGAGAGGAGUACCAGCCACACUGGAACUGAGACACGGGCCAGACUCCGACGGGAGGCAGCAGUGGGGAAUAUUGCACAAUGGGCGCAAGCCUGAUGCAGCCAUGCCGCGUGUAUGAAGAAGGCCUUCGGGUUGUAAAGUACUUUCAGCGGGGAGGCGUUACCCGCAGAAGAAGCACCGGCUAACUCCGUGCCAGCAGCCGCGGUAAUAC